Non-coding RNA from Phascolarctos cinereus (koala), 930 nucleotides. The record is from RefSeq and is a predicted model, not a curated record. Lineage: Eukaryota; Metazoa; Chordata; Mammalia; Diprotodontia; Phascolarctidae.
UUUCUUCCUUCUCCUUUCCUUUUCUUUCCCCUCUCCUCUCCUCUCCUCUCUUUUUCCUUCCCCUCUCCUCUCCUCUGUGUAUUCCAAAGACAGGAAAGAGACUGAAGUGGAGGUGGGCAAGAAGGCUGGAAGGUAGACUAAGGAAUAUGGAAGGGACUGCAAGCAAGUUGACAACUCUUAAGUUUUAUCCUGUAGACAAUGGGGAGCUACUGAAGGUUUCUGAAGAAAGGAGUUCUAUGGUGAAAGUGGUACCCCAGGAAGAUUAGUCUAGCUCUUUUUGGCCCUUGGAACCUUUACAAGAUGUCUCCAAUGUAUCCUUCCAAACUUUUGCACAUUACUCUCCUUAACACGCACUUCAUUCCAAACAAAGUAGCAUAUUGGCUGGGGCUCUUCACCUCUGCCUUACAGAACUGCUCCAUCUCAAGGUCUGCUUCAGUGCCACCUCCUAGAGGGGGCUCCUCUAAGUCCUCCCUAUACCAAAGUCACUUUGUAUAUAGAAUGUAAGGUCCUUGAGGGAAUGACAUUUUCAUUUCUGUCUCUGUCCCUCCAGUAGGUAGCAUACAGUGCUUGGCACACAGAAGAUGCCUAAUAAAUGCUGGUUAAAUUGAACUAAAUAGUAACAGUGCCUAUAAUAGACUGGAUCUGGGAAGGACAAGUCAAGGAACCCCCACCCAGGAGGCUGCUUGAAGUCCUCAGGGAGCCAUGGAAGGCAUAGAGACCACAGAAGAGAAGGGGCCAGAUCCACAACUUGCCACUCCUCCAAACAGUCACUCUUAUGGCUGCCCCCAGGCUCAUACAAGCAGCAAGUUGAAAUCGAUGGUGCCUUUCCCCCUGAGUGAGACAACUUGGAAAAAGGAAUUAAAAACUCAAGAUCUGAGUUACAAAAUCUCUCGGAGUUUGUUUCGUCAUCUGCAAGCAAAAAAAAAAAAA